CGCGCAGGCGGCGCGUUAAGUCCGGGGUGAAAUCCCACGGCUCAACUGUGGGGGACCGUUGGAUACUGGCGUGCUGGAGUGCGGGAGAGGGAAGCGGAAUUCCACGUGUAACGGUGAAAUGUAUAGAUAUGUGGAGGAACACCGGUGGCGAAGGCGGCUUCCUGGACCGUAACUGACGCUGAGGCGCGAAAGCUGGGGGAGCGAACA
Molecule: ribosomal RNA, 207 nt
Filed under: uncultured bacterium
Lineage: Bacteria
Description: partial 16S ribosomal RNA
Rfam family: Bacterial small subunit ribosomal RNA
Source: RNAcentral